GAUGAAGAACGUAGCGAAAUGCGAUAAGUAAUGUGAAUUGCAGAAUUCAGUGAAUCAUCGAAUCUUUGAACGCACCUUGCACCCUUUGGCAUUCCGAAGGGUAUGCUCGUUUGAGUGUCAUUGUACUCUCACACUCCCAAUUGCUUUGGAUUGGGAGCGGUGGUCUUGGGUGUUGCUGCUUGACUGAGGCUCACCUGAAAUAUGUUAGUGCACCUCUUGAUUGGACAUAGUACGGCGUGAUAAGUGUCUUCGCCGGCUCCUCGCAAAGAGGGUGGCCGAUCGGGAGCUCUGUUGCUUCAAACUGUCUUCGGACAAUCUUCUGGCGACUUGACCUCAAAUCGAGUAGGACUACCCGCUGAACUUAAGCAUAUCAAUAAGCGGAGGA
This 385-nucleotide unclassified non-coding RNA is filed under the name soil metagenome. RNAcentral's name for it is "partial contains 5.8S ribosomal RNA, internal transcribed spacer 2, and large subunit ribosomal RNA". The stretch from base 1 to 120 matches the Rfam family "5.8S ribosomal RNA", at positions 35 to 154 of the family's 154-position model. The record is from RNAcentral.